UGCGUAGUCGGAAUAAUAAGUCAGUGGUGAAAGUUUGUGGCUCAACCAUAAAAUUGCCUUUGAAACUGUUAUUCUUGAGUACAUUUGAGGUAGGCGGAAUGUGAUGUGUAGCGGUGAAAUGCUUAGAUAUAUCACAGAACACCGAUUGCGAAGGCAGCUUACUAAACUGUAACUGACGCUGAUGCACGAAAGCGUGGGGAUCGAACAGGAUUAGAUACCCUGGUAGUCC
Molecule: ribosomal RNA, 229 nt
Filed under: uncultured bacterium
Lineage: Bacteria
Description: partial 16S ribosomal RNA
Rfam family: Bacterial small subunit ribosomal RNA
Source: RNAcentral